RNAcentral lists this unclassified non-coding RNA (11730 nucleotides) under Polistes fuscatus (common paper wasp). RNAcentral describes it as "protein furry, transcript variant X1". The record is from RNAcentral. Lineage: Eukaryota; Metazoa; Arthropoda; Insecta; Hymenoptera; Vespidae.
ACUUCCGGCGACACGAACGCCAAAUAUGCCGACUAGUUCUAACUAUAUUUAUAUCGUGGUUGGUAGCUAUUGGAUGAUUCCUUAGCAAAGUACUAAAUUGUAAUUAUUGGUUGUAGUUAUCUAAUAUUUGACGUUUCAAUCAAAACAUAACUUAACCUUAUUCUUGCAUUGUUACUUUAUAGAUAAGUAUUGCUUAUUUGUUUAUUAAAAUGCAGUGUACUCAUGGUAUAACAAUAUACCGUAUAAAUGUUACCUGAAAGUGAAAAGAAUAUAGACAACAUGAUAGAAGGAGGAGAUACACAAUCCAGUGCAACAAAUGAACCACAUACUGAAUCUUCGGAGUCUAGAAUUGUACAUAGUGAGGGAUUACAUGAAGGUACAUCUAUAUCGAUAUCCCAAACUAAUCCUGAAACUGGUCAGGAAUUACUUACGGUUCAUGGAGCAACGCAAGGAGAGAGUAGUGAUGCAGUUAGUAUUCAUACUGCUAGUACCUCAGCCUCUGGCAAUGAAUCAAGUUCUAGUAGAGUAAGUGCAAUAACAGUUAUACUACCCUGGGGUGCUCAAAAAGAAACAGUAAGACCCCAACAAAUUGGAGACAUGGAUUUAAGCCCUGGAGAAUUUGUAAUGCGUACUUCAUUUGCUAAAUUCACUGCGCAAGCAGAAAAGAAAAUGGAAGCAGUGAUGACAGAACACGAGAAAGCACUUUCAAAAAUAUUACAAAGAGGAGAGGACCCACAAUUUGAUCAGCUUUUAUCAGCGUUCGGAUCAGUUGCAGAACAUUGUUUACCUUCUAUUUUACGAGCAUUAUUCAACUGGUAUGAAAGACAAUUAGGUGAUAAAGGUAGUGAUCAAAAGAAACCAGCUGCUGGAAAAGAAGAUCAAAAAGGCAAAAGUAUAAUGUAUACAAUAGUAUCAGGAAGUGUAGAAACAGUAGAAAGGAGCGAAGCAGACUUACUUCAAGAGCGCAGAGAUCUUGCUGUUGAAUUUAUAUUUUGUUUAAUGUUAAUUGAAGUAUUGCGACAAUUGCCAUUUCAUCCAGGACACGAAGAUUUAGUAACGUAUAUUGAAAAUAUUGCCUUUAAACAUUUUAAAUAUAGAGAAGGUAUACAAAAUGAACCUAAUGCUGCGAAUAUACAUAUUAUUGCUGAUCUCUAUGCGGAAGUGAUUGGAGUAUUAGCACAAUCAAGAUUUAUGUCUGUUAGAAAACGUUUUAUGGUAGAAUUAAAAGAACUGCGUGCUAAAGAACCUGGACCUCAUACUACACAAAGUAUUAUUUCUUUAUUAAUGGGAAUGAAAUUUUUUAGAGUUAAGAUGGUACCGAUAGAAGAAUUUGAAGCAUCAUUUCAAUUUAUGCAAGAAUGUGCACAGUACUUCCUAGAGGUUAAAGAUAAAGAUGUAAAACAUGCUUUAGCUGGUUUAUUUGUUGAAAUAUUGGUACCAGUAGCUGCUGCUGUUAAAAAUGAAGUCAAUGUACCAUGUUUGAAAAAUUUUGUUGAAAUGUUAUAUUCUACGACAUUAGAUAUGUGUACUAAAUCUAAACAUAGAUUGGCAUUAUUUCCUCUUGUAACAUGCUUAUUAUGUGUUAGUCAAAAAACAUUCUUUUUACAAAACUGGCACUAUUUUCUGGCUAUGUGUCUUUCUCAAUUGAAGAAUAGAGAUCCUAAAAUGUGUAGGGUUGCAUUAGAGGCUUUAUAUCGAUUACUUUGGGUAUAUAUGAUACGAGUUAAAUGCGAAAGUAAUUCAGCCACACAAAGCAGAUUACAAAGUAUAGUAAACUCUUUGUUUCCUAAAGGAUCUAAGGCUGUAGUACCCAGAGAUACACCUUUAAAUAUAUUUGUCAAGAUUAUACAAUUCAUUGCACAAGAAAGACUUGAUUUUGCAAUGAGAGAGAUAGUAUUUGAUUUAUUAUCUGUGGGUAGGCCAGUUAAAAUAAUUCUAACACCUGAAAGAAUGAGUAUCGGGUUACGAGCAUUUUUAGUAGUAGCAGAUAGUCUUCAACAAAAGGAAGGAGAACCACCUAUGCCAAGAACUAUGGGUGUAUUACCUAGUGGGAAUACAGUUCGUGUAAAAAAAACUUUUCUAAACAAGAUGUUAACAGAAGACACAGCUAGGAGUAUAGGAAUGUCCUCUUAUUUUCCACACGUUCGCAGAGUGUUCGUUGAUAUUUUACGAGCUUUAGAUGUUCAUUACGGUCGUCCAUUAAUGAUGACAAGUACCCAAAAUAUGAAUAAAGAACCAGACGAAAUGAUUACGGGUGAACGUAAGCCUAGAAUAGAUCUUUUCCGUACGUGUGUCGCUGCAGUGCCUCGUUUGAUACCUGAUGGAAUGACUGGAGCAGAACUAGUUGACUUGUUGUCACGUUUAACCGUACACAUGGACGAAGAACUUCGUGGAUUAGCAUAUCAAAGUUUACAGACUUUAGCAUUGGAUUUUCCCGAUUGGAGACAAGAUGUUGUUCUAGGAUUCACACAAUUUCUUGCCAGAGAUGUUCAAGAUACCUUUCCUCAGCUAGUUGACAAUGGCUUAAGAAUGUUAUUACAACUUCUUACAAGUUGGAAGAAUGCAUUAAUUAGUCCUAAUAUUAGAUUGAAAGAACAAACAGUGGACAAUACAAGAUCGAAUAUACGGCCGAACGUAGAUACGACUAUAAAAAGAAGUGAAUCCGGACAAAAAGUAGAACCAGUAUCGUGCGUAUUUCAUCUGGUAGAAGGAUUUGCAUUGGUAAUGCUUUGCAAUUGUCGACUUUAUCCUCGACGAUUAGCUGUACAUAUACUUCGCGAAUUAAAAUUCUUAUUAAAAAUAUUAGGAACUUCUGAUGACGAUCAACCUGUUAUUGAUGUGAUAGAUGCUUGUUGUCCAACUGUAUUAGAAAAAUGUUAUCAUAUGUUGCCACCAGCAGAGAAAGCAGCCGCUGCAUCUACAUUUAAUAUUGAUCUUCAAUGGAUAGCUGAUAGAAGUAGUUGCGUGUGGACAGCAGGGUUUCAUGAUGAGAACAGCACAAAAAGUUCUUCAUCUUUGAAUUUAAAUGGAGCUGAUCCGUGGGGAACCUGUUUAUUUGCAUUUUUGGAAAAGGACAGAGUACUCACUCAAUGUUCCAAUGCUGUUGCUCAUUCUUGGCCUAUCGUUUUUACAAGAAUAAAUUCUUUAUUUUCGGUAGUCGAUCCUACACCUGUCAAUGAUAACAGAGCUUCUCUUUUACGAAGUUCUACUGCAGUACGAAAGCCAGUAAACGAGAGAGAUGUUUACAUGCACGUUUGGAAAAAUUAUUUGACUUUUGGAUAUAGAGUUGUACCACCUGUUCCAAGUCCUGUUGUUCGCUGUGCCAGUCCAGAUCUUAGUCUCAGUGGUCAGCAUACGGUGGAGUUUGGUGUGUUGUGCAUGAGUAAGGAGUUGAGUCAGAGCCUGGAGAACCUCGGCGGGGUGCAGACCCUGCCGGGCCGGUUCUCCGUUCCGUCCAUUUCCGGCAUCUACAUCAGGCAUAAGCGGACCAGCUCAUCGCCGGAUAGUCUUUCUGCUGAAAGAGGUGAUAACAAGUCGCCUGGAACUAACGCGAGCCCUGCGGCUUUGUACAAAUUGACAGUGCCUCUUUUGAGAUGUGAGGCAAUCGAUGUUAGAGAUGCAGCUGUACAGGCCAUCGGUAAAGUAAACGCUGAUGCUUUGAAAGAUUUGAUGGAAGAAUUAGUUCCUUACAUACGCGAGGCUGUAGACCGCAAACAAGAAAAUAUGAGACGUAGAAGACGAAGAGAUGCUCUUAGAUUGCAGUUAGUUCGCGUUUUGGAAUUGAUCGCUGAAUAUGGAACAUUUGGAAUCUGUCCAGCCGUAUUAGAUCGCGAGACACAAUCUCUUCAUCCAACGUUCGUCGAGUAUAUAGACGGUGCGCGUAUUUAUUUGGAAAAUGAAACUGACAAAGAAGCUCCCGCAGUCAGGGAUAUAAAAUUACACUUUUGUAACUUCAUAAGAAAGAUGAUAGAAAGUUUUUCACUGGAAACCUGUCACAGUUUAUUGAAGAGGGAUUUAAGACGAAAUUUAUUUAUGCUCUUUGCUAGUUGGGCUGGACCCUAUGGUAGACCUCUCACAAGUGUAUCAUCUUUGCACGAAGAAGAAAAGACAUGUACGGAAUUACAAUUUUCUGCAUUACAAGCCAUGAGUGGUUUAUUAUGUUGCGGACCGUGUUUCAAUCCGCAGUCUCUUUCCGAAGAGGGUGCAAUAUUAUACCAAUGGCUAGAUUUAUUAUUAGCUAGUAAGGAUGAAAAGAUUUAUGCUCUGGCACGCGAAACAGUUGUUUUAUUAUUGGAAGGAAAUCCUGAUAUUGGUGCACUUCUUGAUUGGGUAGUUGAUAGAUGUUACACAGGAGCUCCCCACGUUGCUGAUGGUUGUUUUCUUGCAUUAGCAACAAUAUUUAGUGCAAGGGAAUAUCCUUGCGAUCAUUAUACAAGUAUCAUUAACGUAACAUUAAUGAAUACUGGUUGUCCUCGUGCACCUGUUCACGACGAAGCUCUUCAACUUCUCCAGCUCUUAGAUCAAAGAUUUUUUGGAAACGUGGGACCAUUGCCAGCCACAGAACCGGAAACUGGUCAAGAAGAUUUAGCUGGAAGUUCGACAGGUACCGCAUCAGGUGCAGUUCAACAAUCAAAUCCUACGGCAGGUGUAUCAUCGAGUGGAACUAUUAGAGGUGGUACCCUCGAUGUUUUACUUUCAACAACUUAUUGUCGCAGUCAAAUGUAUUUAUCACGUCAACUUGCUCAAUUACAUCCAGAAUUGACGAUGCCUAUGUUCAGUGAAAUCACACACAGAUUUCAAACAGCCCGCCGUGAAGUAAGACAACUGUUGCUUCAAUAUUUAUUACCUUGGUUACAUAACAUGGAAUUAGUUGAUCCCAACGUACCACCACCAUCAAAUCCUCUGAGUUAUUAUCAGUAUUACGCGAGUGAAAUAACACGAGGUGGAGCACGUAGAGAAGGAUGGGGUAGCGCAGAGGCAACAGAAAUGGUGCUGAACAAUUUGUUUUACAUCACAGCAAAGUUUUCCGAUGAACAUCCUAAAGACAUCGAAGAACUGUGGGCAACACUUUGUGGUUGUUGGCCUAACAAUCUUAAAGUAAUCAUACGUUAUCUUAUAAUUGUAUCGGGUAUGGCUCCCCAAGAGUUACUAUCUUAUGCCAAACGAGUGGUACUCUACUUGGCCAGAGCACGACCCGAUCGUCUCGUAGACGAAAUGAUGACGGAAUUGCAAACUGUCGAGACACUUAAUUGUUUGAUCGAGCGUACAGAAACACCACCAUUUUAUCGGUUAACCAGCAUGCGUAAGGCAUCGUCUCACAGCGAUGCACCUACCGCGGAUCCUGCUAAUCCUCCGCGAGAUUUGGGAGUUGAAAAAGGUACCAUUCAUACUAAACGACAUUCUGGCGAGGAUCCCGUUAAAACUGGUUCCAAGUCCGAUACUGCGUUACGUGCUCUCGCUGGAUUUCAAACACCGAGGGCAGAAAAAACUAGGACAGCAAGCGGGCCGCCAGUUCUUCCGGACGAUUUGUCGACUCCUACGACGGAAGUCGAACUAACUACAGACGAGUCGUGUUAUAUCGCACGAACUGGACCAGUGGGUUUGAGUGGUAAACCUCAAUGCAUUGGUGAAAAAUUUGACAUACCACAACCUCACCCAUUGCCAAUGCCAGAAUACGGCGGAUAUUUUGCACCCUUAACCGAAUACCUUCCUGACAGUUCGCAGCCUAUAAGUGGCUUUCAUAGAUGCAACAUAGCAGUUAUGCUGCUGACCGAUGUUGUUGUAGAUGGAGUACAAGUUGAUUGGACAAUUCAUGUUCCUUUGAUGUUGCAUAUUGUCUUUUUGGGUUUGGAUCAUUCGAGGCCACUCGUAAGAGAUCACUGUCGCUGUCUUCUAUUGAAUUUACUAGUCGUUCUUGGUGAUCACAGAGAUCAUCUUGGGGUAGCAAGAAUCUUACUUGCCUCGAAGACCAAACAAUUAGGUUUAGGUCUUCCUACGCCAGCUUUGCCAGUUUUGGAACAUAAUUUCACCGAAGUUGACCUAGAAUUUGACAGUUAUUUGUAUGGACCACCGCCAGCACCUCCACCCACUACACCUCCACAUUCUUCUUCACCCCCUCCGUCCUGUACACCGCCCCCGCCACCUCCCCCUCCGCCACCACCAUUGCCUCCUUCAUUUACGGAGACAUCUUCGUGUUUUCCUGCACCACCUCCUCCUCCACCACCACCUCCUCCACCAUCUUUACUAUCAUCAGCGAAUGGUACACCCACUCACUCACCCGUCCCCGUAUCUGUCUCCAGUACUCCAAUAUCAAUGAGUCAUGUAUUCCAGCAACUCGUAAACAAUUGCAAAGAUUAUAGCAAUCCCCAUUCGUAUGAUUCAACGGUAUGCAAUAGUUGGCCAGCAACAACUGGUACAGGGACAACUAUACCACCUGUUAUAGUUACACCAGAGGACAGUAAUAAUUGGGUUGGACCUCAACCUGGUCCCAACAUGCCUAUUCAAGAUGUUAUCAAAUCUUUGAUUAACUUUCUUGCAUCUAGAAUAAAUCAACCUUUAUGGAAUUAUGAAGAUAUGACUGCUAAAGUAUGGUGGGUUCGUAGUGCCGAACAACUCACUAUAUUGUUACGACACGUUUUAAGAGUCUUCCGUGAUUCUUUACCUCAUGCAUUAGUAAGUCAAAGAUGGGCUCAAAUUGCAUUGCAAUUGGGAUUGUCCUGUUCGUCAAGACAUUAUGCUGGACGAUCUCUUCAAGUGUUUCGAGCGUUACGCGUUCCUAUUACAUCACGCAUGCUUUCCGAUAUUCUGUCUAGAUUGGUUGAAACGGUUGCUGAACAAGGCGAGGACAUGCAGGGCUACGUGACAGAAUUACUUUUGACUUUGGAAGCUGCUGUUGAUUCUUUAGAAUCCGAUUUUAGACCAUUAGAUUUUAUGAAAGAAAUAUUUAAAUCAACCCCCAACCUAAAUAACAAAGAUCCCGUAUCUGGUAUUGUGAUCGGUGGUAAACGUAGUCCUGGAAUAAAUGGUUGUGGUCCCACGGGACCACAAAUUCUUUCUCAUUUAAAUCAAGUUGGACAUACGCGAAGUACCAGUUAUUCUGUCAGUUACUGUAUGAAGAAAUCAAGCGGUGGUAACACAACUGCGAGUGAAUUGAAAGAAUUAGAUAAUAGAGGGGGUUGUAACAAAUAUCCGAAUUCUAAUCUUUCGAGAUCAAGAUCGGCACAAUCUUUGAAAUUACUCGGCGAUUCUGCAACCCAAGAUGAUAAGAUGACUAUUUUAGCACAGUUAUUCUGGUUAUCGGUUUCACUUUUGGAAUCGGAUUAUGAACAUGAAUUUCUUCUAGCAUUGAGAUUGCUAAGUCGAGUACUUCAUAGGUUGCCAUUGGAUCGUCCAGAUGCAAGAGACAAAGUUGAAAAGUUACAACAACAAUUAAGAUGGAAUUCUUUUCCCGGUGUCCAUGCUCUUCUGUUAAAGGGAUGCACAAGUCCGAAUACGUACGAGCCGGUUGUAACGUUACUAUCACAGUUUACACCAUUAUUGGAUUUACCAGUUGUUGAUCCCACUCAAAGCUUAGCUUUUCCAAUGAACGUGGUCUCUUUACUUCCAUACAUGUUGCUGCAUUAUGAAGAUGCAAAUGAAUUGUGUAUUAGAAGUGCAGAAAAUAUAGCACAGGUAAGUGCAGAGAAAGGGAAGAAACUCGAAAAUUUGGGUACUGUAAUGACUUUAUACAGUCGUCGUACAUUCAGUAAAGAAAGCUUUCAAUGGACUAAAUGUGUCGUUAAAUAUCUUUACGAUACUUAUGCUCAUUUGAGUUUCGACAUGUUAGCCUUUUUGGUUGAGGUGUUAGAAAAGGGUCCAGGAAGUGUUGCUUUACCUGUACUCAGUAUCAUACACUGUAUAUUACAUUAUGUUGAUCUUGCAUCGCAAGCUGCUCAACCUAUCAAUACUGAACUCUUACAAGUUAUUUCAAAAUACGUUGAAGGGCCUCAUUGGAAGGAAGCAUUAAAAAUUUUGAAACUUGUAGUAACAAGAUCUUCAACUUUAGUUGCCCCACCAACAUCAAUGCAUGUACCAUCGUGGGAAUCAUCUUUGGCAUCUCCGCAUCCAAGUUUCACGGAUACGGAGAUAUUUACUAAAAAAGAAUUACCUGGCAGGACAAUGGAUUUCACUUUCGAUCUUUCCCAAACACCUGUGAUUGGAAGAAGGUGGUUAAUCAGACAGGGUAACGAAGAAAAAUCUUCGAGUUCACCACAAUGUUCGAUGUCUCUUUCACCAGCAGAAAGUACAGCAGUUUCUGGAUGGAAAAGGCCUUGGAUGUCACAGGGUCGCGUUAGAGAAUGUUUAGUGAACUUAUUAACAACAUGUGGACAAAGAGUUGGAUUACCUAAGAGUCCAUCGGAUGAACACAUUAGUUCAAUGACAUUGUCUAGCAAGGUGAUAUUCAGUCAAAGUUCUGACUUAAUGGAGAGGCAAUCAUCGAUGGCGUCAUCUACAGAGGAAGUUUCUGGUGCGAACAAUGAUUUAAGUGGUGGUUCUCGACGAGACGAUGAACAAUUUGGGGUGUUCAAAGAUUUUGACUUCCUCGAAUAUGAAAGUGAAAGUGUCGAGGGUGAAAGUACGGAUAACUUUAACUGGGGUGUUAGACGACGUCCUCUCAGCGAAGGAGAGGAAAGGGAACCUAGUCUACGACAGUUUGAGGAAAGUUUGAGCGAAAAAACCCAAACGUCGAGCAAACAUACUACCAGACGGGGAGUCACGGAAGAAUCGUCCGACGAUGAAGCCGGUUCAGAAUCACCAUUGGAUGAAGUACCAAGUGGAUCAGGAGCUGGACAAGAAGCUAACAGUAUUCCAGGAAUGUUUCCACCUUCUUCUCUUUCGAUACCGAGCCGAACUCGUCACGACUCAUCAACAAGGUCUGACACGUCCGGUUCUAGCGCAGGAGAUCUCGGAGACGUGACACCAUGCAACGCGUCACCAAAUUUAUCCGCAUUGAUGCCGUUCAGACAGGUCGUCAGAGAUGACGCUGAAGAAAUUUGGCGUCAACAAAUUCAAGCUCUCGUCACUCAGGCACCUUAUACCACAUUAGAUUUCUUUCAAUUAUUAAGCAGAAUUAUAAGGGAUGUAAGCAGCAAAUCAGUGGGCCUGACUCGAGAAGCAUGCGCUUUAUUAUCAAACGGCAGUCCUGCUUCUAAACAAUUAGGAUAUCAUUUAUCUAGUCACGCGGAAUUACUUAGCGCGAAAGCCGAACCACCGUUAGUUUGGUUCUCUGUUUCCAUUUUCUCGCAUCAAAGAUUGCACGAAUCUUUACGUUUCGAAAUGUUGGAAAUACAGCAACAUCUCGAAACGUUUCCCGACAGAAAAUAUCACGCCACAGAGUGUUUGGAAACUGUAAAAGCAACGACGAAACUUCAAGCAUUAGGUGGUAGCACUACGAUGGAACUUGGUUUCGAGGAAAUGUUUUUAGAUCUGGGCCGGUCAUUUUACAAAUUGCAUCUUCAAUUAUUGUUAUUGAUAAAGGCAUCGAACAAAAUGUUGGGAAUAUUAAUAAGUGCUGCGAGAAACGUACAGAUACCUUUGCAAGAUAUAUCAACGGAAAUAUCUAACAUGAAGACAGCAUUGAGCAGAGCUUUGGAAGAAAGUACCGAAAGUGAACGAGGUACACCGACUCCAACGCCCAGUCCUAGUCCUUUGCCAGCUGUUGGAGCUGUUGAAGAUAUCGCAAGGGUUGCCGAACUUCUUAGAAAUGCAAGAUGGUGUCCAGCUUUGGAAGCUGUUAGAUUACACAGAGCUCAAUGGCCUGGUGAUCCUUUCCACGAUGACGAUGAUGUAACAACAGCUGUUAACAUGUAUUGUAAACACUUGGGACAAGAUAGAUCUGAUAUUUUCGUGGUCACCCGAACGGACGAUGAAAUGGUUGAAAUCUUUAAUAAACUCAUGAGCAGUUUAUUUCAAGUUCUUACAUCUGUGACAGGUCUCGAGGGAUCCGCGAAAUCAGCGCGUGCACAACAGGAUCAUUCUAAUCAUUCGAAAAACGACUGUUAAUUUAUAAGCAUUUUAGUAUUAUUGACAACUUGCCUAAACGUAUAUAAGAGCUCUUACAAAUUUUAAUAAUCUUUAUGAAUGUAUCGCGUAGCAUAAAAUUCGUAGAAAAAAGAAAAAAGGAGAGAAAGAGUGAGAGAGAGAGCGAGCGAACGAUAGAGAGAAUAUAUCGAGAAGAAACAGAAGAAAGAAAGAAAAAAAAAGAUUAACGAGAGCAAAAGUACGAGAUCGUCGUCUUUUUUUUUUGUAAUCUUAUUUCGUGUAUAUUUUCUUUUUUCCCUUUUUUUUUUACAUUAUGUCUUGCUUUUAAUAUCAUAUAAGUAACGUUAAAAGAUUAUUUAUGAAAAAGAAGAACCAAAAAUAAACGUACUGAUGCUCGAAAAAUAAUAUCGAUCUAUGAUUUGUAAAGAAAAAAUGCCGGACACUCCUCCGACGUAUAAUUUUCAAUUAUUGAUUAGCGAAUACGAUCUUGAAUUAUGUUUCAACGUAAAGAAUUUUGCUUGCCAAUUUAUCAAGAAAGCUAUUAAAAAAGCCACGAGAAUAAUAAGUGACAUGGACGAUAUUUCUGAUCUAACGGUGCGAAGAAAUUCUACUUUUACCAGAUCAUUGAGUUAUUUUGGCGUAGAGUGGCCCACUUGUGGUAAUACCGAUAAGAAAAAUAUUUCAAUCAGUCUCCAAAAUGAAAUGAAAGCGUGGAAUAAUUUGCCGGUAAAUUCGAAGAAAAUAAUUAAAUGAAAAAAAAGAAAAAAUUUCAAAAGAAAAAACAUAUCUGACAUAUGCGAUUGCGCGUUUUUAGGAGUUAAAGGAUUGGAUGUUCAGUAUAGAAUUUGUUAGUCUUUCUGCCUUGAAUAAUAUAAAUUAUUACAAAUAUAAAGUAUUUUGGAGCGUACCUACGAAAUCGUAUCCCGAACCACAAGUUACGGUUUACCUAAGAUUCCGUAUAGCUGUAAAUCUUGAUUACCCAGCACAUUAUCCUGUAAAUGUAAGUUAAUAUCCUCAUGUUCAAAUAAUAACACAGUUAGGAAAUAAGGAUAAAAGUAUAAUUAAACACACACAGAUACACUUUUUGAACUCAGGUCACGUAUAUUAUCGAAGCUCGUCAUUUGAUUAAUCGAUUGGAUACGAUGUUUCAACCUAAAUGGCUUUACGAUAUAUUAGAUAUGAAAACUAUGAUGUUCAAGUCAUUUGAAUUUUGAACAACAAAGACGUUUCUUAUUCCUUAUCGAAUCUAAUUAUAAUUAUAUAAAUAUAUUUAUAGAAAGUGAGAGAGAGAGAGAGAUGGUUUAAAACUUUGGACAUGUGCAUCAAACAAGGGUCAACAUUUUUACAUUUGCAUUUUGAAAGUAUAUUACGUAGCGUGCAAAGUGUCGUAAAAGUAAGAGUGUCAGAUUUCUCUACGAGCCGGCGCGACGAGAGCACGCGCCCGGCUAAACUCGGUUGCAAGCACACCGGACGCCGGUUCACUUUGGUCGGUCAAACAAUAGGAGCAGGUGAUACCCCAAGAAGAGAGAGAGAGAGAGAGAAAGAGGGAGAGAAAGGGUAGUAUACCUUCUCCUACUACUACUACUACUACUUUGCUCUCUUUCAAUUACGUUUACCACGCUCUCUCGUAUUAACCCAUUAGUGCCGAAUCGUUUCCACGAUUCAUUUACGAGAACUAAACUUCAAAACAUAUAUAUUUUUUAAUACCCA